Molecule: ribosomal RNA, 253 nt
Filed under: uncultured bacterium
Lineage: Bacteria
Description: partial 16S ribosomal RNA
Rfam family: Bacterial small subunit ribosomal RNA
Source: RNAcentral
GACGAACCGUGCGAACGUUGUUCGGAAUCACUGGGUUUAAAGAGCGUGUAGGCGGUUAGGUAGGUCCGUUGUGAAAACUCGAGGCUCAACCUCGAGACGCCGAUGGAAACCAUCUAACUAGAGUCCGGAAGAGGAGAGUGGAAUUCCUGGUGUAGCGGUGAAAUGCGCAGAUAUCAGGAAGAACACCCGUGGCUAAGGCGGCUCACUGGCUCAUUACUGACGCUCAGGCGCGACAGCGUGGGGAUCAAACAGG